Molecule: long non-coding RNA, 2331 nt
Organism: Oncorhynchus kisutch (coho salmon)
Lineage: Eukaryota; Metazoa; Chordata; Actinopteri; Salmoniformes; Salmonidae
Source: Ensembl
ACCAGACCUUCAUAUUGCUCUGUGUCAGCUAGACCAUACCUUUCAUAUUGCUCUGUGUCAGCUAGACCAUACCUUUCAUAUUGCUCUGUGUCAGCUAGACCAUACCUUUCAUAUUGCUCUGUGUCAGCUAGACCAUACCUUUCAUAUUGCUCUGUGUCAGCUAGACCAUACCUUUCAUAUUGCUCUGUGUCAGCUAGACCAUACCUUUCAUAUUGCUCUGUGUCAGCUAGACCAUACCUUUCAUAUUGCUCUGUGUCAGCUAGACCAUACCUUUCAUAUUGCUCUGUGUCAGCUAGACCAUACCUUUCAUAUUGCUCUGUGUCAGCUAGACCAUACCUUUCAUAUUGCUCUGUGUCAGCUAGACCAUACCUUUCAUAUUGCUCUGUGUCAGCUAGACCAUACCUUUCAUAUUGCUCUGUGUCAGCUAGACCAUACCUUUCAUAUUGCUCUGUGUCAGCUAGACCAUACCUUUCAUAUUGCUCUGUGUCAGCUAGACCAUACCUUUCAUAUUGCUCUGUGUCAGCUAGACCAUACCUUUCAUAUUGCUCUGUGUCAGCUAGACCAUACCUUUCAUAUUGCUCUGUGUCAGCUAGACCAUACCUUUCAUAUUGCUCUGUGUCAGCUAGACCAUACCUUUCAUAUUGCUCUGUGUCAGCUAGACCAUACCUUUCAUAUUGCUCUGUGUCAGCUAGACCAUACCUUUCAUAUUGCUCUGUGUCAGCUAGACCAUACCUUUCAUAUUGCUCUGUGUCAGCUAGACCAUACCUUUCAUAUUGCUCUGUGUCAGCUAGACCAUACCUUUCAUAUUGCUCUGUGUCAGCUAGACCAUACCUUUCAUAUUGCUCUGUGUCAGCUAGACCAUACCUUUCAUAUUGCUCUGUGUCAGCUAGACCAUACCUUUCAUAUUGCUCUGUGUCAGCUAGACCAUACCUUUCAUAUUGCUCUGUGUCAGCUAGACCAUACCUUUCAUAUUGCUCUGUGUCAGCUAGACCAUACCUUUCAUAUUGCUCUGUGUCAGCUAGACCAUACCUUUCAUAUUGCUCUGUGUCAGCUAGACCAUACCUUUCAUAUUGCUCUGUGUCAGCUAGACCAUACCUUUCAUAUUGCUCUGUGUCAGCUAGACCAUACCUUUCAUAUUGCUCUGUGUCAGCUAGACCAUACCUUUCAUAUUGCUCUGUGUCAGCUAGACCAUACCUUUCAUAUUGCUCUGUGUCAGCUAGACCAUACCUUUCAUAUUGCUCUGUGUCAGCUAGACCAUACCUUUCAUAUUGCUCUGUGUCAGCUAGACCAUACCUUUCAUAUUGCUCUGUGUCAGCUAGACCAUACCUUUCAUAUUGCUCUGUGUCAGCUAGACCAUACCUUUCAUAUUGCUCUGUGUCAGCUAGACCAUACCUUUCAUAUUGCUCUGUGUCAGCUAGACCAUACCUUUCAUAUUGCUCUGUGUCAGCUAGACCAUACCUUUCAUAUUGCUCUGUGUCAGCUAGACCAUACCUUUCAUAUUGCUCUGUGUCAGCUAGACCAUACCUUUCAUAUUGCUCUGUGUCAGCUAGACCAUACCUUUCAUAUUGCUCUGUGUCAGCUAGACCAUACCUUUCAUAUUGCUCUGUGUCAGCUAGACCAUACCUUUCAUAUUGCUCUGUGUCAGCUAGACCAUACCUUUCAUAUUGCUCUGUGUCAGCUAGACCAUACCUUUCAUAUUGCUCUGUGUCAGCUAGACCAUACCUUUCAUAUUGCUCUGUGUCAGCUAGACCAUACCUUUCAUAUUGCUCUGUGUCAGCUAGACCAUACCUUUCAUAUUGCUCUGUGUCAGCUAGACCAUACCUUUCAUAUUGCUCUGUGUCAGCUAGACCAUACCUUUCAUAUUGCUCUGUGUCAGCUAGACCAUACCUUUCAUAUUGCUCUGUGUCAGCUAGACCAUACCUUUCAUAUUGCUCUGUGUCAGCUAGACCAGACCAUACCUUUCAUAUUGCUCUGUGUCAGCUAGACCAUACCUUUCAUAUUGCUCUGUGUCAGCUAGACCAUACCUUUCAUAUUGCUCUGUGUCAGCUAGACCAUACCUUUCAUAUUGCUCUGUGUCAGCUAGACCAUACCUUUCAUAUUGCUCUGUGUCAGCUAGACCAUACCUUUCAUAUUGCUCUGUGUCAGCUAGACCAUACCUUUCAUAUUGCUCUGUGUCAGCUAGACCAGACCUUUCAUAUUGCUCUGUGUCAGCUAGACCAUACCUUUCAUAUUGCUCUGUGUCAGCUAGACCAUACCUUUCAUAUUGCUCUGUGUCAGCUAGACCAGACCUUUCAUAUUGCUCUGUGUCAGCUAGACUGUACAGUAUGCUAG